This 466-nucleotide ribosomal RNA is filed under the name uncultured bacterium. RNAcentral's name for it is "partial 16S ribosomal RNA". It matches the Rfam family "Bacterial small subunit ribosomal RNA", at positions 28 to 507 of the family's 1533-position model. The record is from RNAcentral.
GAUGAACGCUGGCGGCGUGCUUAACACAUGCAAGUCGAACGAUGAAGCCCAGCUUGCUGGGUGGUUUAGUGGCGAACGGGUGAGUAACACGUGAGUAACCUGCCCUUGACUCUGGGAUAAGCCCGGGAAACUGGGUCUAAUACCGGAUAGGAGCGCCUGUCGCAUGCCGGGUGCUGGAAAGAAUUUUCGGUCAUGGAUGGACUCGCGGCCUAUCAGCUUGUUGGUGGGGUAUUGGCUCACCAAGGCGACGACGGGUAGCCGGCCUGGGAGGGUGACCGGCCCCACUGGGACUGCGACACGGCCCAGACUCCUACGGGAGGCAGCGGUGGGGAAUAUUGCACAAUGGGCGGAAGCCUGAUGCAGCGACGCCGCGUGAGGGAUGACGGCCUUCGGGUUGUAAACCUCUUUCAGUAGGGAAGAAGCGAAAGUGACGGUACCUGCAGAAGAAGCACCGGCUAACUACGUG